CUGUAAUUGCAGCACUCUGGAAGGCCAAGGCAGUGGGAUCACUUGGGCACAGAAGUUUGAGACCAGCCUGGGCAACAUAGUGAAACCCUGUCUCUAAAAAAAAUUUUGUUUUUAAUUAGCCAGGAAUGGUGGCGAGUGGCUGUAGUCCCAGCUACUGGGUGGGAAAUGGGGGUGGGUAGGGUGGAGAAGCUGAGGUGGGAGAAUCCCUAGAGCCCAGGAGGUAGAAGCUGAGUUAUGAUCGCACCAUUGCACUCCAGCCUGGGCAGCAGAGAAAGACCUUGCCUCAAAAAUAAGAAAAGUAAAUGAAGUUUCUUCUACUGGCUGAACAAAGUAGCUCAUGCCUGUAAUCCCAGCAUUUUGCAAGGUGGAGGCGGGAGGAUUGCUUGAGGCUAGGAAUUCAAGACCAGCCUAGGCAACAUAGUGAGACCCUGGCUCUACAAAAAAAUAAUAAAUUAAAAAAUAAAAAUAAAAAUAACCGGGCGUGGUAGUGCCUGUAGUCCCAAGUUACUCAGGAGGCUGAAGCAGAAUUGCUUGAGCUAUUAUGUGAUCACAUCACUGCGCUCCAGCCUGGGCAAGAGAGUAAGACUCUGUCUCAUAAAUAAAUUUCUACUGAAAGCCUUUUCAAAAUAGCUUCAGUGGAAUUUAUUAAAAUUUUAAGCAAAGAACAACUGUACCCAUACAAUACAUGAGAGUUUACAUUUGUAAAAUUAGUUGCUUUCCCCAAAUUCUUACGCUUAAUUUUUCCAGUGCAGAAACCUAUUUUCUGUAAAGAGACAGAUGGUAAAUAUUUCAGGCUUUGUGGCCAAUACAGUAUUUGCCACAACUACUCAACUUCACGGUUGUGGCACAAACAUAACCAUAGGUAAUAUAUUAACGGGCCGGCCUGUGUUCCAAUAAAACUUUAUUUAUGGAGAAGGAAAUGUGAAUGUGAUAUAAUUUUUCAUUUGACCUUUUUUUAAAAUCACUUAAAAAUGUAAAAGACAUUCUUAGCUCGUAGACCCUUACAAAAACAGGCAGCAGGCUAGAUAUGGCCUGGGGGGCAUAGUGAGUGGACCCCUGUUCUAGUGGAUAUCCUCUUCUCAAAACCUGAUGUUUAAAAGCAUUUUCCAGGUGUGCCGUUGGUCAAUGAUUGGGGGUAACGCUAAAAGAAAACCAGGUUAAUUUAACAAAAUACUAACAUUAGAAAAAUAGCCACAUCUGAUUACAGACUUUGUAUAAAGCCUCUAGUCUUUACUUUUGGCUAUGAGGUUUUAUGACUCCAGGCCCCACAAUACAGGCCCCUUUUUUCUCACGGUCAAACUCUACAAGACACGUGUCCGCUAUUCCCCUCUCCUGGGCUCUUCCAGGUGCACAGAGGGUGGGACUGCGUGCGGUAUCAUAUACUGGUUAGGACAGCAGCUCCGGUCUAAGGCCCUGUCAGCACUGACUAGCCACACACAGGGAGAGUCACCUAAACGUCCGAUGCCUUAGUUUCUGCCUGUAAAAUGAUAUAAGAGAGUUGAUAGAGCGGUUAAAAAAAUCAGACAAUACCAUACUAGCCUAAGCACAGCGCCUGGCACACAAAGACUCCGCAGUAAAAGGCGGCUCCUAUUAUUGGAACAAUUAGCAUAGAAACUCAACUGCCGCUCCUCCAGGUGGGCCUCAGAGGGGGUCGAACAGGACCAGACCCAGGAGGGCCCCACACCAACUUCCGGAGGGCAGGACUCUGCCUGCCAGUGAGCCCCAGAUCCAGGGACUAAGGCAGCAGGGGUGAAAGCAGGAUGGGGGCCGCCAUGACAGACGGCGGGAUCCGGCCAGCUGGCCUACGCGGUGCUUGCGAGCCUGGCGGCGCGCGCGGGCACUGGGCAUGCGCGGGGUGAGCGCGCCGCCGUCACCGCGCUCCGCUGAAUCCGCGUUUCCGGGAUUUCUCUGUAGUGACUUAGAAGCUACCCGGCGCCUCAUCUGGGCUCACCUGAGCUGAGGAUCAGGAAGGGGAGGGGGCACAGUCAUUCCCUCGCGGACGCGGCGGGACCCCAGCGGACGGCUUUGUGCGGACUUUCGGCACCGUUAUGCCCCCCUAGCCCGACACCACCUGGGGCUGGCGCGCCACGUUACUGUUCAGGGCCAGACGCACCGCCCUGCCUGCUCCGGGGAGCCGGACCUCCGAUCCCGGGGAUGGGGGACCCCGAGACCUCAGACCCAACGGAGGGGACUCUGAUACCUCAGACCCCACGCGGGGACCCCGAGGCUUCAGACCCCCACAGGGUGACCCCGAGAUCUCAGACCCCCGCAGGAGUACCUCCAGACCUCAAAUCCCCAGUAAGGGAAUGAAAGAGACUUCGGAUCCCUGAGGCAGCAAAUCCCUGUAGGGGCAUCCCAGGACUCAGGUCACCGCGGGGUGAACCCAGACCUCACAUUCAGGCAAUCCCCAGGACGCCGAUCGGCUGGCACUACCCACUGUCCCGGCCACCCCCCCUGGAGCUCAAAGGCUUGGCCCUCCAGCUGCUCCACCCUGCCGGCAACCAGGCUCAAACCUGCAGCCCGCGGAUCCCCUGCCCCGGAAGCAACCAGAUUCGCGGGAGGUUACCUGACUGAUCCAAGGCAGUUUCUCACUCCGUUGCCCAGGCUGGAAUGCAGUGGUGUAAUCACAGCUCACUGCAGCCUCAACCUACUGGACUCAAAGGAUAAGAUCUGCUUUUAAUUAAUUUUUGUAUACGGUAUGGGAUAGGGACCAAAGUUCAUUUUUUUGCAUGUAUACAUAUCCAAAUGUUCCAGCAUCAUUUAUUAAAAAGUUAUUUUUGUCUCUACUGCAUUUCCUUUGUGCUUACAUCAAAAUCUGUGUUGCAUAUGUAUGUGUUUCAUUUUAGGCUUCCUAUUGUGUUCCAUUGAGCUAUUUGUCUUUUUGCUGCCAGCACCAUGCUGUUUUGAUUAUUGUAGCUAUAUAAAUAAGUGAUGAAAUCAGAUAGUUUAUGUCCUACAACUUUAUUUUUCAAGGUUAUUUUGUAUCUUCUAGAUUCUUCAGAUUUCCUUUUAAAUCUUAGAGUCGACUUCUCAUUUUGCACAAAAAAAUACUGCUGGGAUUUUGAUUGAGAUUGUGUUGACUCUACAGAUGAAUUUGGGGAGAAUUGACAUUUUAACCAUAUUGAAUCUUCUGACCCAUUAACAUUUAGGUCUUUUAAAAUUUCUCUGGCCAGACGCAGUGGCUCACGCCUGCCACUUUGGGAGGCCAAGGCGGGCCGAUCACAAGGUCAGGAGAUUGAGACCAUCCUGGCUAACACAGUGAAACCCCAUCUCUACUAAAAAUACAAAAAAUUAGCCGGGCGUGGUGGCAUGCGCCUGUAGCCCCAGCUACUUGGAAGGCUGAGGCAGGAGAAUGGCAUGAACCCGGGAGACAGAGCUUGCAGUGAGCAGAGAUCUUGCCACUGCACUCCACCUGGGGCAACAGAGCGAGACUCCAUCUCAAAAAAAAAAAAUAUAACUGUUGUUAGAUUUUAACCUAAGUAUUUGUUUUUUUAUUUUGUUUUUCUUUUUUUCUUCUUUUUUUUUUUUUUUUUUUUUUGAGACAGGAUCUCACUCUGUCUCCCAGGCUGAAGUGCAAUGGUGUGAUCAUGGCUCAUCUUGAAGCCUCGACCCUCCUGGGAUCAAGCUAUCCUCCCACCUCAACCUCCUGAGUAGCUGGGACUACAAGUACACAUGACCAUGCCCAAUUCAUUUUUUAAAUUCUUUGUAGAGGCGGAGUCCCACUAUGUUGCCCAGGCUGGUCUUGAACUCCUGGGCUCAAGCAAUCCUCCCACCUCAGCUUCCCAAAGUGUAGGGAUUACAGGCAUGAGCCACUGUGCAAGGUCUUGUGUUUUUUGAUAAUAUCGUAAAUGGUGAUUUUUUCAUUUGUUUCUGAUUGUUGCUAAUAUAUGGAAAUAUAGUUGAUAUCUGCAAUUGAUCUCAUGUCCUGAAAACUUGCUAAAUCUGCUUAAUAAUUUUUUGUACAUUCAAAAUGAUGUUCUACAGGUAGUCGUAUUGUCUAUGUUGGAAGGAAAGCUUUUCCUCAUUCAAUGUCGGUCCUGUGUUUGAAGACCUGCAAAUUAACUGAUAACAACAGGUUAACAGGAGAAAAGACAAGGUUUAGAGUAACUCACUAAAUAGAAAUAAAGGUUUAUAGAUCCACUUAACAAAAUGUGUUGGG
Molecule: long non-coding RNA, 4159 nt
Filed under: Homo sapiens (human)
Lineage: Eukaryota; Metazoa; Chordata; Mammalia; Primates; Hominidae
Description: HSALNT0132406
Source: RNAcentral